CUCUGCAAGUCGAGCGGACAGAAGGGAGCUUGCUCCCGGAUGUUAGCGGCGGACGGGUGAGUAACACGUGGGUAACCUGCCUGUAAGACUGGGAUAACUCCGGGAAACCGGAGCUAAUACCGGAUAGUUCCUUGAACCGCAUGGUUCAAGGAUGAAAGACGGUUUCGGCUGUCACUUACAGAUGGACCCGCGGCGCAUUAGCUAGUUGGUGGGGUAAUGGCUCACCAAGGCGACGAUGCGUAGCCGACCUGAGAGGGUGAUCGGCCACACUGGGACUGAGACACGGCCCAGACUCCUACGGGAGGCAGCAGUAGGGAAUCUUCCGCAAUGGACGAAAGUCUGACGGAGCAACGCCGCGUGAGUGAUGAAGGUUUUCGGAUCGUAAAGCUCUGUUGUUAGGGAAGAACAAGUGCGAGAGUAACUGCUCGCACCUUGACGGUACCUAACCAGAAAGCCACGGCUAACUACGUGCCAGCAGCCGCGGUAAUACGUAUUGGCAAGCGUUGUCCGGAAUUAUUGGGCGUAAAGGGCUCGCAGGCGGUUUCUUAAGUCUGAUGUGAAAGCCCCCGGCUCAACCGGGGCACGGUCAUUGGAAACUGGGAAACUUGAGUGGACAAAAUGAGAGGGGGAAUUCCCCGUGACGCGGUGAAAAUGCGUUAUAGAUGUGGGAGGAACACCAGUGGUCUAAAGCGACUCUCUGCUCUCGUAAACUGACGCUGAGAGCGAAAAGCGUGGGGAGAGAAGAGUCGUCAUAGACCCCUGGGUGUUCCCCCCCCUUCUACUACGAAUUUGCGACGGG
RNAcentral lists this ribosomal RNA (799 nucleotides) under Bacillus sp. (in: firmicutes). Its description in RNAcentral is "bacterial SSU rRNA". It matches the Rfam family "Bacterial small subunit ribosomal RNA", at positions 54 to 824 of the family's 1533-position model. The record is from RNAcentral. Lineage: Bacteria; Bacillati; Bacillota; Bacilli; Caryophanales; Bacillaceae.